Molecule: ribosomal RNA, 371 nt
Filed under: uncultured organism
Description: bacterial SSU rRNA
Rfam family: Bacterial small subunit ribosomal RNA
Source: RNAcentral
UCGUAGGUGGCAAGCGUUGUCCGGAAUUAUUGGGCGUAAAGCGCGCGCAGGCGGUUCCUUAAGUCUGAUGUGAAAGCCCCCGGCUCAACCGGGGAAGGUCAUUGGAAACUGGGGAACUUGAGUGCAGAAGAGAAGAGCGGAAUUCCACGUGUAGCGGUGAAAUGCGUAGAGAUGUGGAGGAACACCAGUGGCGAAGGCGGCUCUUUGGUCUGUAACUGACGCUGAGGCGCGAAAGCGUGGGGAGCAAACAGGAUUAGAUACCCUGGUAGUCCACGCCGUAAACGAUGAGUGCUAAGUGUUAGAGGGUUUCCGCCUUUAGUGCUGCAGCUAACGCAUUAAGCACUCCGCCUGGGAGUACGGCCGCAAGGCUG